UAUAUAUACAGUAUAUACUGUAUAUAUGAGUAUAUGAGUGUUUAUGUGUCAAGUCUCCACGUGAACCUGUUCUUCUUCCUGGUCCUAUUCUUCAACAGGCGUGCAAGUGGUGCAGGACAAAAUGCAGGAGAAAGUGCUGAGAAAAAGAGAAAAGAAAAAGAAAGAAGAGAUGAAGCAAGAAGAGAGAAAAAAAGAAAGAGAUAAAGAAACAUUUAGUUUGAACGCGUUCCCCUUGCUGCAGGCUCUGUGGCGAGGUCCUGCAGGGGACCCAAUAAGGAGGUGCACACAGUGGGUCUGCAGGGGACCCAAUAAGGAGGUGCACACAGUGGGUCUGCAGGGGACCCAAUAAGGAGGUGCACACAGUGGUCCUGCAGGGGACCCAAUAAGGAGGUGCCCACAGUGGUCCUGCAGGGGACCCAAUAAGGAGAUGCACACAGUGGU
Clupea harengus (Atlantic herring) is the source of this 441-nucleotide long non-coding RNA. The record is from Ensembl. Lineage: Eukaryota; Metazoa; Chordata; Actinopteri; Clupeiformes; Clupeidae.